RNAcentral lists this transfer RNA (76 nucleotides) under Ignisphaera aggregans. RNAcentral's name for it is "tRNA-Met". It matches the Rfam family "tRNA", at positions 1 to 61 of the family's 71-position model. Rfam says of the family: Transfer RNA (tRNA) molecules are approximately 80 nucleotides in length. Their secondary structure includes four short double-helical elements and three loops (D, anti-codon, and T loops). Further hydrogen bonds mediate the characteristic L-shaped molecular structure. tRNAs have two regions of fundamental functional importance: the anti-codon, which is responsible for specific mRNA codon recognition, and the 3' end, to which the tRNAs corresponding amino acid is attached (by aminoacyl-tRNA synthetases). tRNAs cope with the degeneracy of the genetic code in two manners: having more than one tRNA (with a specific anti-codon) for a particular amino acid; and 'wobble' base-pairing, i.e. permitting non-standard base-pairing at the 3rd anti-codon position. Lineage: Archaea; Thermoproteati; Thermoproteota; Thermoprotei; Desulfurococcales; Desulfurococcaceae. The record is from RNAcentral.
AGCGGGGUAGGGCAGCCAGGUAGCCCGCGGGGCUCAUAACCCCGAGGUCGGUGGUUCAAAGCAGGUAGCUACUCUA